Molecule: ribosomal RNA, 325 nt
Filed under: uncultured Chloroflexota bacterium
Lineage: Bacteria; Bacillati; Chloroflexota
Description: bacterial SSU rRNA
Rfam family: Bacterial small subunit ribosomal RNA
Source: RNAcentral
GAUGAACGCUGGCGGCGUGCCUAAUACAUGCAAGUCGAACGGGGUUGUUGUAGCAAUACGACAACUUAGUGGCGAACGGGUGAGUAACGCGUUGGUGACCUGCCCCGAAGAGGGGGAUAACAGUCCGAAAGGAUUGCUAAUACCCCAUGUCGUCAUGGUGCUUAGAAAGCCAUGCCGAAAGGUGCAAACCGCUCUGGGAGGGGCCUGCGUCCCAUCAGCUAGUUGGUAGGGUAAUGGCCUACCAAGGCGACGACGGGUAGGGGACCUGAGAGGGUGACCCCCCACACUGGCACUGAAACACGGGCCAGACACCUACGGGAGGCUG